UUGGGGGGUUCCAUUCGUUCCCCUCUGCUCCUCAUGUACAAAACGCCAUUUGUUUGACGGGUCCCACUUCAGUCUUCUUGGCUUCUCCGUUCUUAUUUCCAUUGCCCAUUCUUUUGCACGGUGGGAGUUUUCAGCUUCUCCAAUCCCCAUUCUCAUUUCCUUAUUCUCCCUACUCACUCAAAAAUUACAGCUCCCGGAAGGCUCCCAUCAGCUUGCUUUCUUGAUUCCCUGCAUUGAGGUUGCUCCUCACCUCAAGCCACCCCCAUGGCUGGUUCUGCCAUAGGUUGACCACCGGCGCGUUUGGCUCCUUGUAUGCCUCAUCUGUCUCCUAAGAUGGGGCCAAGGAUCAGCUGCGCCAGGGAGGAGGCUAGAUCAUCAAUUUGCAUGGUGCUGUUGCUGUUGGCACGCGUGCAGUUCAUUUGGUCGUGGAUUUAAUCUCCCUCUCCCGCAGGCCCGCAACCCUCUUGGAUCCAGCUUUAUAUGAGGGUGCCGGCGACGUUUCCCCAAGCGUGCAAGCGGCAAGCCAGACACAUCGUCUCUGUUUCCGCUCGUAGAAGCUCGGCAACUCUCUUCGAAGUUUGACCUCAGGAGCAUCACAGAUAUGCCAACUUUUAAUUUCAACUCGUGAUAUGGGAUUCCAGGAAAUGGUAAGAUGUUCAAGAAUUCCAUUGGAUAUAACACUUCUGUUUCUGCAUUUAAGGUAGUUGCUUUGCAUACUGUGUCGCAACUUAGGUAAGUUUUCGCUUAACCUUGUAGCUGAUCCAUUAUAUAUCGCAAACUGUUCUGUUUCUUGCACAUAAUAUUGCUCUUUCUUCAAAGUAUUCUCGUUGGUGACAUUUGUUGUGUGUAGUAAUAGCCCUGGUAAUAAAUGUUCAGUAAAGUUGGAUUUGGGUUUACAUGUAGAGAUUAAAGUUCACACCGUUGAAUUUUUUGACCAAAUUUGAAGUAACAAUCACUAUUGUUUGUUUGUGCGAAAGACUUUCAUUCACCAUAUUUGCUAAAAUAUCCCCCUCAUACUCCCAUAGUGUGAUCUGGAUCUUCUCACCAUUGGACGAAUUUAAUCAUGAAAAGGUGACACAAAGAUCAUCUUUGUAAUAAAAAUAGCUAUAGUAAUCUAAAUAACUUGCUCUAGUGAAGGGACUUCAAUCUCACAGAUGUUUGAAGUUUGCGCCAUGAUCUUCCCUUUAUUUUUUAUACUUGCUCUACUGGUGUCAUUGUAGUGAGCAAUCCAAUGACAUAUGCAUAUCAUCAUAUUUAUAAAUCUAAUUCACCGAUGCUUGUUCUUCGAUAUGGAUUUUGUUCAUAGUUGAGCACUGUUUAUCAAUAUUCAAACUACUCUCCAAGGUAUCACUAUCAGCAAAUUCAAAGUGGUAGUCUCUUGGAUUCUCCUUCAUCCACUUCCUUCACUGUUGUUCCAAAAAGAAAAUGGAUUUUAAGAUUGUUCUUCAAAGGUCGGUAUUUUUCAAACUCCCAAACUUUGAAGGUCUUAAUUAUGUAGACGUAGUCCUCUCUAAUUUCUGCUUUAAAUUUAUUGACCAGCUUGUUCCCAAUAUUAGCAAACAUUAGCAAACUUUGGAAAAGGAAAACUAAAGAGACGUUUUAUAGGUAGCACUUGCACCUUUUUAUCUAAUAAAAUCAUACCGGUGAUGAUGUGUUCAUUAGUUGAUAAGUUAAUUGCAUCCCAUAGUCUUAAAACCAUCUGACCAAUAAUAUGAAAACCAUCUGAAAUCUGAUGCACCAUAUAUCUACAUCGCAGCAAGUAAUCCCAUUUUUUCCGUGAUAUUCUUAUAGCUGCCGUAUGGUUCUAGUCUUCUAGAGUAUAGUAUCUUAACAUGAAUACACUGGAACCAACAUCCAUGGCAUCAACCUUCUUUAAAUGAGUAAAAGUAUGAACGUGCCACCAUUAAGACAGGAACUCACACCUAUAUAAUUGUAUUACUUAAUCUAGAAUUCACAUGAUAGUUUUUUCUAUUUCUACAUAAUCAACCUUCUGACAUAACAUGCCAAAUCUUUUUAUAUGAGCACUUCCUAGAACAUAAUUGAAGUAGGUUUGAUCUAUAAUUUCUUGCAGAUGGUACUUACUGGAGGUGAUCGGAUUGCUCGCCGGAGCCGGCUGAUGCCCGCUUGAGAUAGAUAAUACCGAAGUGCCACUGGUUGGAGGUAGUUUACCUCGAAGUGUUGUUCGUCGAGGAAGAUGAUUUAGAAGUUGUACACUAAAAUCUAGAGGACAAUGAACCUUUGAGUUGGUCGAAGCAUUGCGCUGGGAAGGUAUUAUAGGGAUGAUUGAGCUUAUGAUGUUUGCAGGAUGGCAAGAGAGCUUGUUUGGAUGCCUAGAGAUUUUGUAUAUAUGUAUGCGAACAUGAGAUUUUGGUCAAACACAGAUUGUACCUUGUACGCCCCAGUUUUUUCA
Long non-coding RNA from Aegilops tauschii subsp. strangulata, 2410 nucleotides. RefSeq lists it as uncharacterized. The record is from RefSeq and is a predicted model, not a curated record. Lineage: Eukaryota; Viridiplantae; Streptophyta; Magnoliopsida; Poales; Poaceae.